This 253-nucleotide ribosomal RNA is filed under the name uncultured bacterium. Its description in RNAcentral is "partial 16S ribosomal RNA". It matches the Rfam family "Bacterial small subunit ribosomal RNA", at positions 524 to 776 of the family's 1533-position model. The record is from RNAcentral.
UACGUAGGGGGCAAGCGUUGUCCGGAAUCAUUGGGCGUAAAGAGCGUGUAGGCGGCCCGAUAAGUCCGCUGUGAAAGUCCAGGGCUCAACCCUGGAAUGCCGGUGGAUACUGUCGGGCUCGAAUCCGGAAGAGGUGAGUGGAAUUCCUAGUGUAGAGGUGAAAUUCGUAGAUAUGACAUAGAACACCAAUUGCGAAGGCAGCUGGCUACGCAUAUAUUGACACUGAGGCACGAAAGCGUGGGGAUCAAACAGG